AUCUGGCUCAGAACGAACGCUGGCGGCGCGUCUUAAGCAUGCAAGUCGAACGGCAAGAGGUAGCAAUACCUCCUAGAGUGGCGGACUGGUGAGUAACACGUGGGUGACAUACCCUUCAGAUGGGGAUAGCUAUAGAAAUAGUAGAUAAUACCGAAUACGAGCACAGGGGUUAGAGAUCUGUGAGGAAAGGAGCUAAGGCUCCGCUGAAGGAAUGGCCUGCGGCCCAUUAGCUAGUUGGUGAGGUAAGAGCCCACCAAGGCGAUGAUGGGUAUCCGGCCUUAGAGGGUGAACGGACACAUUGGGACUGAGAUACGGCCCAGACUCCUACGGGAGGCAGCAGCUAAGAAUAUUCCGCAAUGGACGAAAGUCUGACGGAGCGACGCCGCGUGGAUGAAAAGAAGGCCGGAAGGUUGUAAAAUCCUUUUGAAACUGAAGAAUAAGCGUUGUAGGGAAUGACAGCGUGGUGACAGUAGGUUUUGAAUAAGCAACGGCUAAUUACGUGCCAGCAGCUGC
Molecule: ribosomal RNA, 513 nt
Filed under: uncultured bacterium
Lineage: Bacteria
Description: bacterial SSU rRNA
Rfam family: Bacterial small subunit ribosomal RNA
Source: RNAcentral